Long non-coding RNA from Felis catus (domestic cat), 1166 nucleotides. RefSeq lists it as uncharacterized. The transcript has 3 exons. Lineage: Eukaryota; Metazoa; Chordata; Mammalia; Carnivora; Felidae. The record is from RefSeq and is a predicted model, not a curated record.
AGGAGAAAGUGGGUGAUGGGCAUUGAGGAGGGCACUUGUUGGGAUGAACACUGAGUGUUGUAUGGAAGCCAAUUUGACAAUAAAUUAUAUUUUUUAAAAAAAGAAUAAAGCAAUAUUAUCCAGUUUUCCUUGAAUCUAGGUGUGACCAAGUUAGUAAGCUUUGCCCAGUGCAAUUAUAAAAGGAAAUGGAGUAUGCACAGUAAAUGUCACUAAAAUGAGGAAGCGUAUGUUCAUUCUCCUUGUAAAUUCUUCCACUGUCUGGAAUGUGGAUGUGAUUCCAGAACUGGAACAGCCAGCCAUCUUGGGCAUCGGCCUUAAGAGAUUGAAGCCUCAUCUUGAAGUUACUGGAAAAAUAUCCAAGGACUUUGGGUACCUGAUUAUAUGGAGCUUCUAAAUCAGUAACAGACUGCCUUCCUUUAUAUAAGAGAAAGAACCUGUCCUGUAUAAGAAAUCUAUUGGGUUUUCUGUCAUUGGCAACCUAAUCUAAUUCAAGCCUAAAAAUAUAGACAAAAUGAAAGCCAAAUUUUAAGUUCACUUAUUUUCUUAAUAAGUUUGUUCUCAAUUUACACAUGCCUAGUCUUUUUAUAUCUCUUUUUGAUCAUAUUCCCACUGUGGACUUCUGGAUUCCUGUAGACAUUACCUUUGAUUCGUUUCCAUGGUGCUAAAGGAGGGAGACAGAAGGGGUGAAAAGAGGAUAUACAGAUUUCACUACAAGGUGCAAGAGAAAAUCAUACUGGAAAGGACAGCACAGCUGGCAUAAGAGUGGCAGUAGCAGGAUUCCAAACAUGUUAGACAACAGCACUUCAUCUGGGAGAAACUUAAAAGUUAAAAGCUUCACAAGGCUCCUCUCAGUUGCUUUUCAUGAGGAAGUAGAGAAAUCCACAUGGAAAAGAACUAAAAGCAGCCUCCAGUCAACUGCCUGCAAGAAACUGAAGUUCUUAAUCCAAAAGCCCUUGAAGAACUGAAUCUGAUCAACUGAAUUGAAUCCUGCGAGCUUGGAGGCACAUCUUUCUCUGUUUGAGCCUUCAGAUAAGACCACAGCCCUGGAUAACACCUUAAAUGCAGCAUGGGAGACAACAAAGCAGACAUCCUAGCUAAGCUGUAGCCAGAUUCUGGACUCCCAGAAAUUGUGAGAUAAUAAAUGUGUAUGGUUUUAAGCCACCAAA